RNAcentral lists this long non-coding RNA (5392 nucleotides) under Sus scrofa (pig). RNAcentral's name for it is "lncRNA (ENSSSCG00060030301.1)". Lineage: Eukaryota; Metazoa; Chordata; Mammalia; Artiodactyla; Suidae. The record is from RNAcentral.
AGCGAUGCAGUUUCUGCAGUGUGGGCAAUGACACUCUUCAGCAAAGGAGCGACAUCUAAGGAUUAUGAGCACGAUGUAGCUGCAGUGCUGCACCCGAGGCACAGAGACGUUCCAAGCUAGGGGUUGAAUCAGAACUGCAGCUGCCAAUCUACACCACAGUCACAGCAACGCCGUAUCCAAGACGCAUCUGCGACCUACACCACAGCCUGUGGCAACGCCCGAUCUUAACCCACUGAGCCACAAAGGGAGCUCCUUAAUUUCACCUUUUUAUACAACCACGUUCAAGAAGCAACAAGAACCCCAGGACCAGCACUGGAAGCUGCCUUCUGGGUGCUGCUCUUCCACCGCAGGCUCUGAUGAGCAGGGUGCCCUGCUCCCGCGGAUGAAGAGUCCGUCCUGGACUUAGGAAAGCUCCCCAAAUCAACUCAAAGUCAAGAUCGAACCCUGUGGUGCGUGAGUCCAAUGAGGAGGGUGGUUCUACAGGAAUCUGGGCAGAUGUGAAUCCUAGGACCUCAGACAGGGACGGGCCAUCUCUCACGGGGAUUGGAUUACCCAGGGGUCCCCUCGGAAUUUCAGCUUCUAGGGUCUCUGUCCCCAGACCAAAGGUGCCAGGCAGGGGAAAGCUUUGUCUGGUUUCUAAUUCUAACCACAGGGAACAUGUGCUCCCCGACUUUGUGAAGAGAAAAUGAGUUCCCCCAGCAGAAGAAAAAGGAUGGAAAAAAUUAAUUUUGCUGCCCACUUUUUAGUCCUUGAGUGUGGAUAAAAAGAUGACGGUGAUUUUUUUUUAAUUAGAGGAGGAUCUGGAAUUCUCUUACUGGAAUAUUAAUUUCAAUAUGAAAAAUAGCUCUGAAACAGAAAGACACUAUUUUAAGCAGCGUGGUUUUUUCCCCCACUGACUUUUUUUUUUAAGUGUGAAGCUUACUUACAGACAAAUGAAUAGAACUGCUUGAUGAACAAGUGAACCUUCAACUAAUUUCAUCAAUUUUUAUCCUUCUCUGGUGGCCGGGGUUUUUAAUUCAUGUGUGUCUUUGAUGGUAUUGGCAAUUUUGAUGUUCGUUUACAAUUUAAACAAUUUAAGACAAAUGUUUCCUGAGAACAAACCCACAGGGGGGCCAGAAUUUUCUCCAGGCCCAGAGACACAUCAGUGGUGUGGACACACAAAUCCCAGCCUGGUUGGAAUGGACGGUCAGCGGGGAAACCUACUCGACAACCUGCGGUCACUUCUAAGGGGGUGGCUCUGUGCGUGUGUGUAACUGAACCACUUUGCUCCACGGCAGAAAUGAACACAACAGCGUAAAUCGACCAUAUUUCAAAAAAAAUUUAAGAAAUCUACAUCCCUGUGAGACUUAGCUCCAUCCAGUAGGGAAGACAGACAGACAGAGAAUGAACAACUAUAUUAUCGAUGCGAUAUAACUCGAGGCAGGAAAAGGACUUCACAGGUUCAGUUUUAAAUGCCUGCAGGCCGACUGGCCGAGCUAUGACAUGCGAUCAGGUUGUUCAAGUCUGCGACGUCACCUUUAUAGCCAGAAGGCCACCUUCGGAGACACAAACCCCUCAGCGGUGCCCCCACCACGGCUUCCAGCACAGGCAGCUCCUGGGCGAAGUUCUGUGCAGGGCGGGCCGAGGGCCAGGCUGGCGGUGGAGGGGGACUCGGCUCCACUUGUUCGAGGCUGGGCUGGGGGACGGAGAUGCAGGGGGAAGGGCAAAGCUGCAGAGGAUGCUCUGGGCGGGGAGGGGGGCUGGGUCGCAGUCAAGGGCCCCAGAGCCCUGAGAGAGCACAAGGGCCUGGGAACCAGGGCCCGGGAGGAAAGCCACCUUUUUAUUCUACUUUAUGUUACUGGGUUAUUUUUUUGCUUUUUUUUUUUUAAUUGAAUGACAGAUUCUUUCAAGUCUAUAGUGCUUCACGAUUUUCAGAAGCUUCACACACAUGAUUUCACAUCCUUGUAUAACCCUUCCCCCACCCCAUAUGCCCCCUGCCUAGGACGGGCAACCACUAACUUGUUCUCUGUGUCUGUGAGUCUGUGGCUGUUUUGUUAGAGUCACUAGUUUGUUGUGCUUUUCAGAUUCCGCGUCUAAGCGCUGUCACUACAGUAUCUGUCCUCGUCAGACUUAAUGAGCACAAACUCCCUCCACGUCCACCCGCUGCAACCGGCAACGCCCUUCUUUGUCACGGCUGAGCCACAGGGAGUCAGCCUUCUUGGGGGACCAACCCCACGAGGAGACAGUGAAAGGCUGGGGGUGGCCAGCACCCCGGUGACGUGAGGACAGCAGCCCUGAGCUCCCAGCUCUUCUCUGGGGACCAGGAGGUGAGGAUGGGGGGUGGGGGUGGGGGGAAGCCUGGAACUUUCCCUGUGGAGCAUCUGAGAGUGAGGCAGCUCCACUAGAGCGCCGGAAAUCCUUCUCGACUGAAUCUGUGUGUGUCAUUUGGGAAACUCCCAGCUGCCUUUUAACUGCAGGAAAUUCAAAAUAACAAGCCCGGCUCCCACCUCCUGCCAGCCUCCCUCAGGAGCUGCAGUAACAGGAGGUUCUGUUCCCGUUAGAAGUAACAAGCGGUGUCUGGGCUGCCCUGGCCUGCGGUUCGGCUGCCUCGAGGGCUGGGUCCCCGCAGGGACGGGGUCAGGCAGUGUGGUCUCAAGACCACGGGCCCGCGCCGAUGCCGACACGGGGCGGGCAGUGAGCACAGGUCCAGGGCACAGAGCCUGGCUCCUGUGUUCAAAUCAAGCAGCGGGGUCCCCUGGGCCCUCGGCCCCGCAGCAGUGCACACACGGUAGCUCAUUAGCAAGGGAAAGCCCUCGAAAACAGCGCGUGCAGCCGGUAAAAUGCUUAAUUAGAGGGAGCCUUCAAAAAUCUCGAUGGUUGAUUCCAAGGCAUGAGCAAGGCUAUAUUUAUCACUCCCUCCAGUUCCAGGUAGCUCAUUAAUAAGAAAAGGAAGGCUUCUCAAGUUUCACCACCUUCCCUGCUGCAACGCUCUCACGGUGGACCCCUGAACACAGUUCCAUCGGCCUGAGCGCCAAGCCUUCCCUCUGCGCCGCGGGCGGGGGGCCGAGGGCUAGUGGCUUUCGUGGCCGAGGAGAGGGAAGGGGACGGGCCUUUCUCUGUGACCCACAGUUGACAGACCUCCUAUUUCUCUAGCUCAUUUCACCCUCAAAACCCCCGCCAACAGCAGGGAUCCUUCCCACACGUCCUCCCCCGAGGCCGGUGGCCACGACCGGCUCCCCGGGGGCCUCAGGCCAUCAUGCCCGCGGCUUGAAGAUCCAGAGAGACGAAAAAGACCUUUCCUGUCCCCAAAGCCAGCAGAGUUUUUAACGACCGACACCGCACGGAGGCCCAGAGUGGGAAAGGUGGUUGUAAGACCAUCGGCCUGUGCGUGAGCUGGUUCCGAUGCGUGGGACGCGCUCUCCAUCAGUAAAGACGCCCAGGGGCCUGCUGUGCCCAGCCCGGGCCGGUCACGUGUCAGAGAAGAAUAAGCAACGCUUCCACCUGCUGGAGCUCAGGGAGCCCCACCGCUACCAGGCAUGCCUCCCGGAGCCAGCGCUGUGCCAAGAGGAACCAGACGAGGAAGCUGAGUGGCUGCCUUCCGGAGCGUCACCGCGGAGAGGAGACAUCGGCCGGCAUGCCCAGGCUCGGGCUGACACCGCACAGGCCCGCAACUCAGGUGUCGACCUGUGUGCGUUAGCAGCACGCUCCCCGGUGGCUGGGCGGGGCAGGGGUUUCUGCAGGAACUCAGUCGUGAUGAGGUGAUGCAGCUGCUGGGGCUGUGGGGGCCCCCCUAAAGGUGCCUCGGUGGGACAUCGUGCGAAAGUAACUGAGCCGCGAGGCCUGCCAGCUGCUCUCGGCUGGUGGACCUUGACCUCGGAGCUCGGCUAUUGCUUCCUUCGUCACCUGAGGACGCGGGUGUGAGGAGCCGUUUCAACCCCGGGGUCGUCUGGCCCACCAAGGAGCGUGGGUCCAUCCUUUCAGGCCACCUUGGACUUGGACUUUUCAGGUCCGUGUCAUUUGUAAAGUCAAGGAAGUCCCAGGAUUUGCGGCAGGAUGGUAACACAGGGGAUAAAGUGAGAGGAACGUUAAAGAGGACCAAUUCGGGGACCCCCCCCCCGAUAUCUGGCUGGCGGACAGGCCCCCUAGAGGCAGUGCAGGCGGAGAAGGAAGUCGGUGACUGAGAGAGGGAGAUUCCCUGCCCUGAUGGAAUAGAGCAGUUUUCACGGUGAAAGGACCCGCUGAGAACCAGGCAAAAAAACAAUGUUUGUGGCUGCACCUGCAGCAUACGGAAGUUCCCGGGCCAGGGAUGGAAUCUGAGCUGCAGCCACAACCUACAUCACAGCUGUGGCAGCACCGGAUCCUUAACCCACUUGCCGGGCUGGGAAUGAACCCUGCACCUCGGCAGCCACCCGAGCCGCUGCAGUCAAAAUCCUUAACCCACGGUGCCGCAGGACAUGCCGGAAGUCCAGAACAAGGCCACUUUUACGACCACAAACAAACUGCACGUCUUACCCUGGUAAAACUACAAGACCCCCGCCGAUGGAGAGAGAGAGUCAGACGACUUCCUGACGGAGAAAAGCAAGUGGUUUACAUAAAAACGAGAAUAAAACUGUCCAUCGUCUUGUUGUCAAUGACAGCCAAGCAAUCCCUUCAACGUCUGGAAAGUUCUUUUGAACCUGGAAGUGUAUCUCCAGUCAAAUGAUCACGCAAAGGCUGAGUGGCCAAUACACCCUGGAACAGGUGUUCAACACCCUUACUUAACAGAGACAUGCAAACCGAACCCACGGGAAGAUACCCACUUGAAAAGGGCUGGCGAUCACCAGUGCUGACGAAGUGGCUUGACCGCACCUCUUAUUCUGUGCUGGUAGGAGUGUGAAUGGCUCACAGGCAAGUAAGAAGUAGACACGGACUGAACUCAAUUUCUAUGAAGUGCUACAACAGGCAAAAGCAAUCUGGUGUAGAGACCUGUGAUCUGUGUCCGGGCCACUGCCCCAGAGAGGACACGAGGCAAGCUCUCUGGGUGAAUGGAAUGUUCUUAUAUCUUUUUUUUUUUUCUUUUAGGGCCGCACCUGUGGCAUAUGGACGUUCCCAGGCUAGGAGUCAAAUUGGAGCUGCAGUCCCCAGCCUACACCAGAGCCACAGCAACAUGGAAUCCGAGCCGCAUCUUUGACCUACACCACAGCUCACAGCAACGCUGGAUCCUUAACCCACUGAGCCAGGCCAGGGAUCGAACCUGUGUCCUCACGAAUACUAGUCAGAUUCAUUUCCGUGGAGCUGCGAGAGGAACUGCUGCUCUGUGUCUUAAGAUGGGUGGUGGUCACGUGCAAAACCCAUCCUGCUGGACCCUUGAGAUCUGUUUUCUCUGCAAGUGCAAAGUAUACCUCGAUAAGUAACUAAAAAAAAAAAAAAAAAA